AUGAAUCUGUUAAGUUGGAACUGCCGGGGUGGGGGGAAUCCCCGGACAGUUCGUGAUGUUGCGACGUUGGUGCAGUCGCAUUCCCCCAUGUUUGUGUUUUUGUGUGAAACUCGACAAAAAGCUAGUAAGAUGAAAAGAAUUAGAGGGCGUCUUGGCCUUCACGGCUUUGUGGGUGUGGACAGUAAUGGUUUAAGCGGUGGCCUAGCAUUGUUUUGGCACGAAUCUUACCAAGUAACAGUUCUUGGAACAGAUGACAGGUUCAUUGACAUUGCUGUUAGCUCUCCCAGCGGGGAGCAAUGGAGAUUAACUUCAGUUUAUGGUGAACCAAGGGUUGAAAACAGGCACUUGAUGUGGACUAAACUUCAAAUGUUGAAGCAAGCCUCGGACCUGCUUUGGGUAGUAAUUGGAGACUUCAAUGAGGCGCUGUGGAGCUUUGAACACAUGUCCUUGACGCCUAGGCCAGAAGCUCAGAUGGCCGUUUUUUGGGAUGUACUGAUGACAUGUGAGUUAGUUGAUUUGGGGUUUUCGGGAAUACCCUAUACAUAUGACAAUAUGCGUUCGGGAUUGGCAAAUGUACGCGUACGGCUGGAUCGUGCAGUGGUAACAAGUGAGUGGAGAAACAUGUUCGCAUACUCCUCUGUACAACACCUUGCAUCCCCUUGUUCGGACCAUAUCCCACUGCUGCUAAAGUUGGAUGCAGAGCAGGAGAGGCCUAGAGCCAACGCACGGUGA
Molecule: ribosomal RNA, 732 nt
Filed under: Triticum aestivum (bread wheat)
Lineage: Eukaryota; Viridiplantae; Streptophyta; Magnoliopsida; Poales; Poaceae
Description: partial small subunit ribosomal RNA
Source: RNAcentral